GAGAUACCCCUAUGAAGCAUGACUUGCUUCAGUGGGGCUUUGGUGCUCCCUGAGUCUGUCUCUUGAGCGUGUCACU
RNAcentral lists this microRNA precursor (76 nucleotides) under Myotis lucifugus (little brown bat). RNAcentral's name for it is "mir-9229 microRNA precursor family". It matches the Rfam family "mir-9229 microRNA precursor family". The record is from Rfam by way of RNAcentral. Lineage: Eukaryota; Metazoa; Chordata; Mammalia; Chiroptera; Vespertilionidae.